Molecule: small nuclear RNA, 106 nt
Organism: Antechinus flavipes (yellow-footed antechinus)
Lineage: Eukaryota; Metazoa; Chordata; Mammalia; Dasyuromorphia; Dasyuridae
Source: RefSeq, a predicted model, not a curated record
GUACUGAUUUGGCAGCACACAUAUUAAAAUUGGAAGGAUAUAGAGAAGAUUAGCAUGGCUCCUGUACAAGGAUGACAAAGAAAUUUGUGAAGAGUUCAAUAUUGUU